RNAcentral lists this ribosomal RNA (470 nucleotides) under Staphylococcus aureus. RNAcentral describes it as "partial 23S ribosomal RNA". It matches the Rfam family "Bacterial large subunit ribosomal RNA", at positions 513 to 985 of the family's 2925-position model. Lineage: Bacteria; Bacillati; Bacillota; Bacilli; Caryophanales; Staphylococcaceae. The record is from RNAcentral.
GGUGAAAAGCACCCCGGAAGGGGAGUGAAAUAGAACCUGAAACCGUGUGCUUACAAGUAGUCAGAGCCCGUUAAUGGGUGAUGGCGUGCCUUUUGUAGAAUGAACCGGCGAGUUACGAUUUGAUGCAAGGUUAAGCAGUAAAUGUGGAGCCGUAGCGAAAGCGAGUCUGAAUAGGGCGUUUAGUAUUUGGUCGUAGACCCGAAACCAGGUGAUCUACCCUUGGUCAGGUUGAAGUUCAGGUAACACUGAAUGGAGGACCGAACCGACUUACGUUGAAAAGUGAGCGGAUGAACUGAGGGUAGCGGAGAAAUUCCAAUCGAACCUGGAGAUAGCUGGUUCUCUCCGAAAUAGCUUUAGGGCUAGCCUCAAGUGAUGAUUAUUGGAGGUAGAGCACUGUUUGGACGAGGGGCCCCUCUCGGGUUACCGAAUUCAGACAAACUCCGAAUGCCAAUUAAUUUAACUUGGGAGUC